RNAcentral lists this ribosomal RNA (253 nucleotides) under uncultured bacterium. RNAcentral describes it as "partial 16S ribosomal RNA". It matches the Rfam family "Bacterial small subunit ribosomal RNA", at positions 524 to 776 of the family's 1533-position model. The record is from RNAcentral.
UACAGAGGUCUCAAGCGUUGUUCGGAUUCAUUGGGCGUAAAGGGUGCGUAGGCGGCGCGGUAAGUCGGGUGUGAAAUCUCGGGGCUUAACUCCGAAACUGCAUUCGAUACUGCCGUGCUAGAGGACUGGAGAGGAGACUGGAAUUUACGGUGUAGCGGUGAAAUGCGUAGAUAUCGUAAGGAAGACCAGUGGCGAAGGCGGGUCUCUGGACAGUUCCUGACGCUGAGGCACGAAGGCCAGGGGAGCAAACGGG